This 716-nucleotide ribosomal RNA is filed under the name uncultured Bacilli bacterium. RNAcentral's name for it is "bacterial SSU rRNA". It matches the Rfam family "Bacterial small subunit ribosomal RNA", at positions 52 to 737 of the family's 1533-position model. The record is from RNAcentral. Lineage: Bacteria; Bacillati; Bacillota; Bacilli.
AGCGAGCUUGCCUAGAUGAAUUUGGUGCUUGCACCAAAUGAAACUAGAUACAAGCGAGCGGCGGACGGGUGAGUAACACGUGGGUAACCUGCCCAAGAGACUGGGAUAACACCUGGAAACAGAUGCUAAUACCGGAUAACAACACUAGACGCAUGUCUAGAGUUUAAAAGAUGGUUCUGCUAUCACUCUUGGAUGGACCUGCGGUGCAUUAGCUAGUUGGUAAGGUAACGGCUUACCAAGGCAAUGAUGCAUAGCCGAGUUGAGAGACUGAUCGGCCACAUUGGGACUGAGACACGGCCCAAACUCCUACGGGAGGCAGCAGUAGGGAAUCUUCCACAAUGGACGCAAGUCUGAUGGAGCAACGCCGCGUGAGUGAAAGAAGGGGUUUCGGGUUCGUAAAGUUCUGUGGGUUAGUGAAGAAAGAUAGAGGUAGUAACUGGCCUUUAUUUGACGGUAAUUACUUAGAAAGUCACGGCUAACUACGUGCCAGCAGCCGCGGUAAUACGUAGGUGGCAAGCGUUGUCCGGAUUUAUUGGGCGUAAAGCGAGUGCAGGCGGUUCAAUAAGUCUGAUGUGAAAGCCUUCGGCUCAACCGGAGAAUUGCAUCAGAAACUGUUGAACUUGAGUGCAGAAGAGGAGAGUGGAACUCCAUGUGUAGCGGUGGAAUGCGUAGAUAUAUGGAAGAACACCAGUGGCGAAGGCGGCUCUCUGGUCUGC